CGGUAUAUACAACUCAGCGGUAGAGUGCUAGCCUAACAAGCUUGAAGCUCUGGGUUCAAUCCCCAAGGGCACUGA
This 75-nucleotide transfer RNA is filed under the name Marmota monax (woodchuck). RNAcentral describes it as "tRNA.Val". The stretch from base 11 to 66 matches the Rfam family "tRNA", at positions 9 to 63 of the family's 71-position model. From Rfam's summary of the family: Transfer RNA (tRNA) molecules are approximately 80 nucleotides in length. Their secondary structure includes four short double-helical elements and three loops (D, anti-codon, and T loops). Lineage: Eukaryota; Metazoa; Chordata; Mammalia; Rodentia; Sciuridae. The record is from RNAcentral.